Molecule: long non-coding RNA, 441 nt
Organism: Populus euphratica (Euphrates poplar)
Lineage: Eukaryota; Viridiplantae; Streptophyta; Magnoliopsida; Malpighiales; Salicaceae
Exons: 3
Source: RefSeq, a predicted model, not a curated record
AAAUGCAACGAAGCUGUGAUGACAGUUUUGGUGGAAGAUUUCAGACUUUACUUAAAGGAACAAAUUGAUUGGUUAUUUUCGGCGAGGUUAAAGAAACUUGGAUUUUCUUCUUUAUUUGAUGAAAGCUGCUAUGUAGAUAUGCAAAGCAACACUUAUUGCUCUCACAAGGAUGUCAAUAGACGAAAGAAACACAUCAGAUUCUUUCAUGGGAAAAUUCACGUACAUUUAUGCAUUGAACUUCUUCCAUCUUGUUCGAAAAAAUGUCAAUUUACAAUAAUAUUUCCAUGUGAAACGACAUCGUGUAAAUACAAUACCUAAAGUAUAACUGCCUCUAUGUAUCCUUCGGAUAUCAAACAAUGAAAAUCCAGGAAAUCGAGAGAUAAUGCUCUCAAGAUGCCGAAAAGAAUGUGAUGAUUUUUUUACGAAAACAAAAAUGUAUGG